This 1521-nucleotide ribosomal RNA is filed under the name metagenome. RNAcentral describes it as "bacterial SSU rRNA". It matches the Rfam family "Bacterial small subunit ribosomal RNA". The record is from RNAcentral.
UGAGUUUGAUCAUGGCUCAGAUUGAACGCUGGCGGCAGGCCUAACACAUGCAAGUCGAACGGUAACAGGAAACAGCUUGCUGUUUCGCUGACGAGUGGCGGACGGGUGAGUAAUGUCUGGGAAACUGCCUGAUGGAGGGGGAUAACUACUGGAAACGGUAGCUAAUACCGCAUAACGUCGCAAGACCAAAGAGGGGGACCUUCGGGCCUCUUGCCAUCAGAUGUGCCCAGAUGGGAUUAGCUAGUAGGUGGGGUAACGGCUCACCUAGGCGACGAUCCCUAGCUGGUCUGAGAGGAUGACCAGCCACACUGGAACUGAGACACGGUCCAGACUCCUACGGGAGGCAGCAGUGGGGAAUAUUGCACAAUGGGCGCAAGCCUGAUGCAGCCAUGCCGCGUGUAUGAAGAAGGCCUUCGGGUUGUAAAGUACUUUCAGCGGGGAGGAAGGGAGUAAAGUUAAUACCUUUGCUCAUUGACGUUACCCGCAGAAGAAGCACCGGCUAACUCCGUGCCAGCAGCCGCGGUAAUACGGAGGGUGCAAGCGUUAAUCGGAAUUACUGGGCGUAAAGCGCACGCAGGCGGUUUGUUAAGUCAGAUGUGAAAUCCCCGGGCUCAACCUGGGAACUGCAUCUGAUACUGGCAAGCUUGAGUCUCGUAGAGGGGGGUAGAAUUCCAGGUGUAGCGGUGAAAUGCGUAGAGAUCUGGAGGAAUACCGGUGGCGAAGGCGGCCCCCUGGACGAAGACUGACGCUCAGGUGCGAAAGCGUGGGGAGCAAACAGGAUUAGAUACCCUGUAGUCCACGCCGUAAACGAUGUCGACUUGGAGGUUGUGCCCUUGAGGCGUGGCUUCCGGAGCUGACGCGUUAAGUCGACCGCCUGGGGAGUACGGCCGCAAGGUUAAAACUCAAAUGAAUUGACGGGGGCCCGCACAAGCGGUGGAGCAUGUGGUUUAAUUCGAUGCAACGCGAAGAACCUUACCUGGUCUUGACAUCCACGGAAGUUUUCAGAGAUGAGAAUGUGCCUUCGGGAACCGUGAGACAGGUGCUGCAUGGCUGUCGUCAGCUCGUGUUGUGAAAUGUUGGGUUAAGUCCCGCAACGAGCGCAACCCUUAUCCUUUGUUGCCAGCGGUCCGGCCGGGAACUCAAAGGAGACUGCCAGUGAUAAACUGGAGGAAGGUGGGGAUGACGUCAAGUCAUCAUGGCCCUUACGACCAGGGCUACACACGUGCUACAAUGGCGCAUACAAAGAGAAGCGACCUCGCGAGAGCAAGCGGACCUCAUAAAGUGCGUCGUAGUCCGGAUUGGAGUCUGCAACUCGACUCCAUGAAGUCGGAAUCGCUAGUAAUCGUGGAUCAGAAUGCCACGGUGAAUACGUUCCCGGGCCUUGUACACACCGCCCGUCACACCAUGGGAGUGGGUUGCAAAAGAAGUAGGUAGCUUAACCUUCGGGAGGGCGCUUACCACUUUGUGAUUCAUGACUGGGGUGAAGUCGAAACAAGGUAACCGUAGGGGAACCUGCGGUUG